This 255-nucleotide ribosomal RNA is filed under the name uncultured bacterium. Its description in RNAcentral is "partial 16S ribosomal RNA". It matches the Rfam family "Bacterial small subunit ribosomal RNA", at positions 524 to 776 of the family's 1533-position model. The record is from RNAcentral.
UACGUAGGGUGCAAGCGUUGUCCGGAAUUAUUGGGCGUAAAGAGCUCGUAGGCGGUCUGUCGCGUCGGAUGUGAAAACCCAGGGCUACAACCCUGGGCCUGCAUUCGAUACGGGCAGACUAGAGUUCGGUAGGGGGAGACUGGAAUUCCUGGUGUAGCGGUGAAAUGCGCAGAUAUCAGGAGGAACACCGGUGGCGAAGGCGGGUCUCUGGGCCGAAACUGACGCUGAGGAGCGAAAGCGUGGGGAGCAAACAGG